Molecule: unclassified non-coding RNA, 262 nt
Filed under: Hevea brasiliensis (rubber tree)
Lineage: Eukaryota; Viridiplantae; Streptophyta; Magnoliopsida; Malpighiales; Euphorbiaceae
Source: RNAcentral
AAACAAUCUUGGUUUGAUUUCACACUUGGACCGAGUCCUUGGGUCCCUCAAAAUUGAUUUUUGCAGUAACAUCAGUAUUAGGAAUUAAAGCUCAAAAGUCCAAACCCUAAUGAAAUAAUGGCAAUGUCAGUUUCAGCAAGGACAAUUGGAUGUUUUUCAUCAAUGAACCGGAAACCAAAACAGCUGGAAUUGAAGGUACCGUUGUUCUUUAAUACUAGACGCUAUCAGGUUAUCAUAUUUUUCUUUGUACUACUCUUCCAAA